This 279-nucleotide ribosomal RNA is filed under the name uncultured Actinomycetales bacterium. RNAcentral's name for it is "partial 16S ribosomal RNA". It matches the Rfam family "Bacterial small subunit ribosomal RNA", at positions 505 to 783 of the family's 1533-position model. The record is from RNAcentral. Lineage: Bacteria; Bacillati; Actinomycetota; Actinomycetes; Actinomycetales.
GUGCCAGCAGCCGCGGUAAUACGUAGGGUACGAGCGUUGUCCGGAAUUAUUGGGCGUAAAGAGCUCGUAGGUGGUUGGUCACGUCUGCUGUGGAAACGCAACGCUUAACGUUGCGCGUGCAGUGGGUACGGGCUGACUAGAGUGCAGUAGGGGAGUCUGGAAUUCCUGGUGUAGCGGUGAAAUGCGCAGAUAUCAGGAGGAACACCGGUGGCGAAGGCGGGACUCUGGGCUGUAACUGACACUGAGGAGCGAAAGCAUGGGGAGCGAACAGGAUUAGAU